RNAcentral lists this ribosomal RNA (440 nucleotides) under uncultured bacterium. RNAcentral's name for it is "partial 16S ribosomal RNA". It matches the Rfam family "Bacterial small subunit ribosomal RNA", at positions 338 to 795 of the family's 1533-position model. The record is from RNAcentral.
CCUACGUGUGGCAGCAGUGGGGAAUAUUGCACAAUGGGGGAAACCCUGAUGCAGCGACGCCGCGUGAGUGAAGAAGUAAUUCGGUAUGUAAAGCUCUAUCAGCAGGGAAGAAAAUGACGGUACCUGAGUAAGAAGCCACGGCUAACUACGUGCCAGCAGCCGCGGUAAUACGUAGGGGGAAAGCGUUAUCCGGAUUUACUGGGUGUAAAGGGAGCGUGGACGGCAGUGCAAGUCUGGAGUGAAAGGCGGGGGCUCAACCACCGGACUGCUCUGGAAACUGUACGGCUGGAGUGCAGGAGAGGUAAGUGGAAUUCCGAGUGUAGCGGUGAAAUGCGUAGAUAUUAGGAGGAACACCAGUGGCGAAGGCGGCUUACUGGACUGUAACUGACGUUGAGGCUCGAAAGCGUGGGGAGCAAACAGGAUUAGAUACCCGAGUAGUC